AGAUUGAACGCUGGCGGCAGGCCUAACACAUGCAAGUCGAGCGGCAGCACGGGUACUUGUACCUGGUGGCGAGCGGCGGACGGGUGAGUAAUGCCUAGGAAUCUGCCUGGUAGUGGGGGAUAACGCUCGGAAACGGACGCUAAUACCGCAUACGUCCUACGGGAGAAAGCAGGGGACCUUCGGGCCUUGCGCUAUCAGAUGAGCCUAGGUCGGAUUAGCUAGUUGGUGAGGUAAUGGCUCACCAAGGCGACGAUCCGUAACUGGUCUGAGAGGAUGAUCAGUCACACUGGAACUGAGACACGGUCCAGACUCCUACGGGAGGCAGCAG
This 328-nucleotide ribosomal RNA is filed under the name uncultured soil bacterium. RNAcentral describes it as "bacterial SSU rRNA". It matches the Rfam family "Bacterial small subunit ribosomal RNA", at positions 26 to 354 of the family's 1533-position model. The record is from RNAcentral.